RNAcentral lists this ribosomal RNA (794 nucleotides) under Salmonella enterica. RNAcentral describes it as "partial 23S ribosomal RNA". It matches the Rfam family "Bacterial large subunit ribosomal RNA", at positions 396 to 1191 of the family's 2925-position model. Lineage: Bacteria; Pseudomonadati; Pseudomonadota; Gammaproteobacteria; Enterobacterales; Enterobacteriaceae. The record is from RNAcentral.
GCUGUGAGCUCGAUGAGUAGGGCGGGACACGUGGUAUCCUGUCUGAAUAUGGGGGGACCAUCCUCCAAGGCUAAAUACUCCUGACUGACCGAUAGUGAACCAGUACCGUGAGGGAAAGGCGAAAAGAACCCCGGCGAGGGGAGUGAAAAAGAACCUGAAACCGUGUACGUACAAGCAGUGGGAGCACCCUUUGGGGUGUGACUGCGUACCUUUUGUAUAAUGGGUCAGCGACUUAUAUUCUGUAGCAAGGUUAACCGAAUAGGGGAGCCGGAGGGAAACCGAGUCUUAAUUGGGCGUUAAGUUGCAGGGUAUAGACCCGAAACCCGGUGAUCUAGCCAUGGGCAGGUUGAAGGUUGGGUAACACUAACUGGAGGACCGAACCGACUAAUGUUGAAAAAUUAGCGGAUGACCUGUGGCUGGGGGUGAAAGGCCAAUCAAACCGGGAGAUAGCUGGUUCUCCCCGAAAGCUAUUUAGGUAGCGCCUCGUGAAUUCAUCUCCGGGGGUAGAGCACUGUUUCGGCUAGGGGGCCAUCCCGGCUUACCAACCCGAUGCAAACUGCGAAUACCGGAGAAUGUUAUCACGGGAGACACACGGCGGGUGCUAACGUCCGUCGUGAAGAGGGAAACAACCCAGACCGCCAGCUAAGGUCCCAAAGUCAUGGUUAAGUGGGAAACGAUGUGGGAAGGCCCAGACAGCCAGGAUGUUGGCUUAGAAGCAGCCAUCAUUUAAAGAAAGCGUAAUAGCUCACUGGUCGAGUCGGCCUGCGCGGAAGAUGUAACGGGGCUAAACCAUG